UCGCGGCGAAGAUGACCGAAUCGUUCGUCGUCCACCCUCACUCCUCUCUUUUUCCUUCUGGUUUCCCCUUCUUUCCUUCCCCUGCGUAACUCUUCCUCUCUUUUUCGCCUCGAGGUGCAUUUUCGGCGCAGGAGGUUCAUUGGAUAUUAUAAUCUUUAGGGAGAUCUUCUUGGCAUUGGACCAAAAUGUUGGACCCACAAUGUGAGGUUCAAGGUUCUGAAUACUUUUUCUGUCACUUGUAUGGAAUCUUAUUCGACCAGUAUGUUGCCUUCAAUACACUGAUGAACCAGUAUGGUACUGAACUGGUUGCAGCGCUAUAGUGCGACCGCUCACCACGCCGGGACAAAAAGCCUCAAAAUGGCUCUGUUUUCAUGUGUCGCGGGUUGUUUUCUGCAGCUUGUUGCAGUACCCAAAACGUCAGUCAUCUCAACACCCUGGAACCCCCUGGGUGGCACAGGGCUAGAUGGGGCUUCGGUAUAUUGUUGGGCAUUGAAAAAUCUUCACAAGUUUGCACAUUGACAUGACGGGAACUUAACUUCGCGCCUGGCACCUGGUGAGCAGUUGUUUGUGGACUUGCAACCGUUCGUUCUACUUUCUAAAGUCCUUGUUUUUCUCCUUCCUCUUUUUUCUCCUAUGCACACAAUGUGCUUGCUGAAUUGCUUGUAAAACUUCUCUUUAUGAGACUUUCGGACUUGUCCAUUGCUCGUUUUCAAUCUAAUCAAUUUUUUGUUUUACCGGUCCUUCGGGACCUGUACAAGGUUACAACUAGGUUGACCAUUUGCGGAUGCAUAUGUCGCAAGGGCGCCUCAUGACUUAGGCAAUCCUAACUAAGUCUGAGAAGUUGGUGCAAGAGUGUAUCACGUCUUAGGCAACUCAAGCUAAGUUCGUGUUUUGAUCGCAAGGGUGUCUCAUGACUUAGACAAUUCCAGUUAAGUUCGUGACACAUAGGCAAAAAAUAAACUGCUAAUUCAGAUUCUUUUAUUUUGAGAGACCUAGACAUGGCCUUAGUAUUAAAAGUCAAAAAGUGUGUGGAAGAGAAUGCAGAGUUAGGAAAAGAGGUCGAGACGUGCA
Molecule: long non-coding RNA, 1071 nt
Organism: Musa acuminata AAA Group (dessert banana)
Lineage: Eukaryota; Viridiplantae; Streptophyta; Magnoliopsida; Zingiberales; Musaceae
Exons: 3
Source: RefSeq, a predicted model, not a curated record